GUCGAACGAUCCUUUCGGGGAUAGUGGCGCACGGGUGCGUAACGCGUGGGAAUCUGCCCUUGGGUUCGGAAUAACUUCGGGAAACUGAAGCUAAUACCGGAUGAUGACGAAAGUCCAAAGAUUUAUCGCCCAGGGAUGAGCCCGCGUAGGAUUAGCUAGUUGGUGGGGUAAAGGCCUACCAAGGCGACGAUCCGUAGCUGGUUUGAGAGGACGACCAGCCACACUGGGACUGAGACACGGCCCAGACUCC
RNAcentral lists this ribosomal RNA (250 nucleotides) under uncultured bacterium. RNAcentral's name for it is "partial 16S ribosomal RNA". It matches the Rfam family "Bacterial small subunit ribosomal RNA", at positions 61 to 339 of the family's 1533-position model. The record is from RNAcentral.